GGGAAUGCGGCUUAGUGGUAGAGUGCUUGUGUUGCAUACAUGAAGCCCUGGGUUCAAUUCCACAGUCCCA
Dipodomys ordii (Ord's kangaroo rat) is the source of this 70-nucleotide non-coding RNA. Lineage: Eukaryota; Metazoa; Chordata; Mammalia; Rodentia; Heteromyidae. The record is from Rfam.